This 28-nucleotide non-coding RNA is filed under the name Mus musculus (house mouse). The record is from RNAcentral. Lineage: Eukaryota; Metazoa; Chordata; Mammalia; Rodentia; Muridae.
UCCUUCAGAGUGUCCUCAGCUACGACUC